AGAGUUUGAUCCUGGCUCAGGAUGAACGCUAGCGACAGGCUUAACACAUGCAAGUCGAGGGGCAGCAUGAGGUAGCAAUACCUUGAUGGCGACCGGCGCACGGGUGAGUAACGCGUAUGCAACCUGCCCGAUACCGGGGUAUAGCCCAUGGAAACGUGGAUUAACACCCCAUAGUACUUUUAUCCUGCAUGGGAUGUGAGUUAAAUGUUCAAGGUAUCGGAUGGGCAUGCGUCCUAUUAGUUAGUUGGCGGGGUAACAGCCCACCAAGACGAUGAUAGGUAGGGGUUCUGAGAGGAAGGUCCCCCACAUUGGAACUGAGACACGGUCCAAACUCCUACGGGAGGCAGCAGUGAGGAAUAUUGGUCAAUGGACGUAAGUCUGAACCAGCCAAGUCGCGUGAGGGAAGACUGCCCUAUGGGUUGUAAACCUCUUUUAUAAGGGAAGAAUAAGUUCUACGUGUAGAAUGAUGCCUGUACCUUAUGAAUAAGCAUCGGCUAACUCCGUGCCAGCAGCCGCGGUAAUACGGAGGAUGCGAGCGUUAUCCGGAUUUAUUGGGUUUAAAGGGUGCGUAGGCGGUUUAUUAAGUUAGUGGUUAAAUAUUUGAGCUAAACUCAAUUGUGCCAUUAAUACUGGUAAACUGGAGUACAGACGAGGUAGGCGGAAUAAGUUAAGUAGCGGUGAAAUGCAUAGAUAUAACUUAGAACUCCGAUAGCGAAGGCAGCUUACCAGACUGUAACUGACGCUGAUGCACGAGAGCGUGGGUAGCGAACAGGAUUAGAUACCCUGGUAGUCCACGCCGUAAACGAUGCUCACUGGUUCUGUGCGAUAUAUUGUACGGGAAUAAGCGAAAGUAUUA
This 856-nucleotide ribosomal RNA is filed under the name uncultured bacterium. RNAcentral's name for it is "bacterial SSU rRNA". It matches the Rfam family "Bacterial small subunit ribosomal RNA", at positions 8 to 862 of the family's 1533-position model. The record is from RNAcentral.